RNAcentral lists this long non-coding RNA (898 nucleotides) under Olea europaea subsp. europaea. The record is from RNAcentral. Lineage: Eukaryota; Viridiplantae; Streptophyta; Magnoliopsida; Lamiales; Oleaceae.
CUACCAAAAAUUGACAACAACAAAAGAUGUGAAAAAUCUUCAUGAGCACUGACAUGAACGGAAACACCAGAAUCAAUAACCCAACCACUAUCUUGACAAACAAGACUAAUAGAUGCUUCGUUGAAAAAAACACCAAUAUUGCCCUCAUCUGCAACUGUAUUACUGUGUUCAUCUAGCUGUCCUUCAUUUUGUUCUCUUUUUCCAGAUUCUACAUUCACUUUUCUUGUUGCCAAGUUUGUUACAGUGGUAAUAUUUUUUUCUAAAUUUAAAUUUUCCUCUAGAAAAAUCUCUCUUGUUGUGUAUGUUAGGCGUUCUGCUUUUGCUUCUCUCACGCCUGUCAUAUCUUUCGGUAACAGGAGUUUCAUAAGAAGAUUCUUCCCUUUCUUUUCUUCUAUUUUCUUCAUUGAGGAGACUGUUUUUAACCAUGUCAAUGGUUCGCUUUUCGUCUGGUGUCAAAUUGCUCAAUUAUACAGCCAGUGUAUCCUAGCUAUCUGGCAACGAGCUGAAUAAUAAUAAUAACUGCAUCUCAUCUUCAAGCAUCAUCUUCAUGGUAGUCAAUGGAUUGACUAAGCUCGCUAGUAUGUUCAGUCACGCUAUGCUCUUCCCUAUACUUCAAGUUCACAAGCCUUUUAAUUAUCAUGGCUUUGUUCCUGGAUGUGUUCUUUACAUGCAUAGCCUCCAACAUUUUCCAAAUGGCAUGUGCCUCGGUUUCUUCAGCAAUAUGAUGAAAAAUAUUGUGAUUGACCCACUGUCUGAUCGUUACAGCAACAUUCAUAUGUGUUGGGAGAAAAACGAUGAGGCAAGUAUGACACAAUAUCAAGUUUUGAUCACACAAGUAAGAACAAAAUUAAAACAAGUAGAAAAAUUGGCAGAGGAAUCGAGUAAUUUUAUUAUUAAC